GAAUCCCGUAUGUGGCACGGACUCCCGUUACUCUGUGAUACACUCUCAACGAGUCGAGUUGUUUGGGAAUGCAGCUCCAAAUGGGUGGUAAAUGCCAUCUAAAGCUAAAUAUUGGCGAGAGACCGAUAGCAAACAAGUACCGUGAGGGAGAGAUGAAAAGCACUUUGGAAAGAGAGUGAAACAGUACGUGAAAUUGUUGAAAGGGAAACGCUUGAAGUCAGUCGUGCCCUUUGGGAUUCAGCCUUGCUUCUGCUUGGUUUACUUCUCUUUGGGUGGGUCAACAUCAGUUUGGGUCGGAGGAGAAAGACUUGGGGAAGGUGGCAGCAUUCGUGCUGUGUUAUAGCCCCUUGUUGUAUACUUCGAUUUGGACUGAGGACCGCAGCACGCCUUUGGCCGGGGCUCGCCCACGUACGUGCUUAGGAUGUUGGCAUAAUGGCUUUAAGCGACCCGUCUUGAAACACGGACCAAGGAGUCUAACAUGUGCGCGAGUGUUUGAGUGUUAAACUCAGACGCGAAAUGAAAGUGAAAGGUUGGGAACACUUAUGUGUGCACCGACGCCCGGAGCUGACCUUCUGUGACGCAUCUGCGGUAGAGCGUAUAUGUUGGGACCCGAAAGAUGGUGAACUAUGCCUGAAUAGGGUGAAGCCAGAGGAAACUCUGGUGGAGGCUCGUAGCGAUUCUGACGUGCAAAUCGAUCGUCAAACUUGGGUAUAGGGGCGAAAGACUAAUCGAACCAUCUAGUAGCUGGUUCCUGCC
RNAcentral lists this ribosomal RNA (756 nucleotides) under uncultured Sebacina. Its description in RNAcentral is "partial 28S ribosomal RNA". It matches the Rfam family "Eukaryotic large subunit ribosomal RNA", at positions 216 to 962 of the family's 3401-position model. Lineage: Eukaryota; Fungi; Basidiomycota; Agaricomycetes; Sebacinales; Sebacinaceae. The record is from RNAcentral.